AACUUGCCUCACAGACAGGGACAACAUUUGGAAACGGAUGCUAAUACCUGAUAUUAUGAACUGUGCGCAUGCAUAGAUUAUGAAAGCUAAAUGCACUGUGAGAGAGCUUUGCGUCCCAUUAGCUAGUUGGAGAGGUAACGGCUCACCAAGGCGAUGAUGGGUAGCCGGCCUGAGAGGGUGAACGGCCACAAGGGGACUGAGACACGGCCCUUACUCCUACGGGAGGCAGCAGUGGGGAAUAUUGGACAAUGGACCGAGAGUCUGAUCCAGCAAUUCUGUGUGCACGAUGAAGUUUUUCGGAAUGUAAAGUGCUUUCAGUUGGGAAGAAGAAAGUGACGGUACCAACAGAAGAAGCGACGGCUAAAUACGUGCCAGCAGCCGCGGUAAUACGUAUGUCGCAAGCGUUAUCCGGAUUUAUUGGGCGUAAAGCGCGUCUAGGCGGUUUAUUAAGUCUGAUGUGAAAAUGCGGGGCUCAACUCCGUAUUGCGUUGGAAACUGGUAGACUGGAGUACUGGAGAGGUAAGCGGAACUACAAGUGUAGAGGUGAAAUUCGUAGAUAUUUGUAGGAAUGCCGAUGGGGAAGCCAGCUUACUGGACAGAUACUGACGCUGAAGCGCGAAAGCGUGGGUAGCAAACAGGAUUAGAUACCCUGGUAGUCCACGCUGUAAACGAUGAUUACUAGGUGUUGGGGGUCGAACCUCAGCGCCCAAGCAAACGCGAUAAGUAAUCCGCCUGGGGAGUACGUACGUCAGUAUGAAACUCAAAGGAAUUGACGAGGACCCGCACAAGCGGUGGAGCAUGUGGUUUAAUUCGACGCAACGCGAGGAACCUUUACAGCGUUUGACAUCC
This 849-nucleotide ribosomal RNA is filed under the name uncultured Fusobacterium sp. RNAcentral's name for it is "bacterial SSU rRNA". It matches the Rfam family "Bacterial small subunit ribosomal RNA", at positions 123 to 989 of the family's 1533-position model. The record is from RNAcentral. Lineage: Bacteria; Fusobacteriati; Fusobacteriota; Fusobacteriia; Fusobacteriales; Fusobacteriaceae.